This 378-nucleotide ribosomal RNA is filed under the name uncultured bacterium. RNAcentral describes it as "bacterial SSU rRNA". It matches the Rfam family "Bacterial small subunit ribosomal RNA", at positions 527 to 903 of the family's 1533-position model. The record is from RNAcentral.
GUAGGGGGCAAGCGUUGUCCGGAAUGAUUGGGCGUAAAGGGCGCGUAGGCGGCCUGAUAAGUUUGAAGUGAAAGUCCUUCUUUUAAGGAGGGAACUGCUUUGAAAACUGUCGGGCUUGAGUGCAGGAGAGGUAAGCGGAAUUCCCGGUGUAGCGGUGAAAUGCGUAGAGAUCGGGAGGAACACCAGUGGCGAAGGCGGCUUACUGGACUGUUACUGACGCUGAGGCGCGAAAGUGUGGGGAGCAAACAGGAUUAGAUACCCUGGUAGUCCACACUGUAAACGAUGAAUGCUAGGUGUAGGGGGUAUCGACCCCUUCUGUGCCGGAGUAAACACAAUAAGCAUUCCGCCUGGGGAGUACGGCCGCAAGGUUGAAACUCA